UGAUAUGUGUGACAAAACAUACCAACUGGUGUCAACAUCAGCUAGGCUAUGUUGGCAUUUUCUGAUGGUUCUUCAUGACUGAUCAUAAGUUUCUUAUGGAUCCCCAGUUGCUGCCUCCUUCUGAAGCACAGGUUAUUAGAGAGGCUGAAAACCAGACUGGAACAGGCUCUUCAAAGGCAGCCUCUGGACCUGGACUAUUUAG
Alosa alosa (allis shad) is the source of this 202-nucleotide long non-coding RNA. RefSeq lists it as uncharacterized. NCBI's taxonomy places the organism in Eukaryota, Metazoa, Chordata, Actinopteri, Clupeiformes, Clupeidae. The record is from RefSeq and is a predicted model, not a curated record. The transcript is spliced from 3 exons.